RNAcentral lists this long non-coding RNA (274 nucleotides) under Elaeis guineensis (African oil palm). RNAcentral's name for it is "long non-coding RNA (EGUI_LNC025915)". Lineage: Eukaryota; Viridiplantae; Streptophyta; Magnoliopsida; Arecales; Arecaceae. The record is from RNAcentral.
UCCAUACCUACCAAUAAUUCAUGUAAGUCCUACUAAUUUCUUUCUACUAUAUAGCACUGCAUCCAAUAACAAUAUUCUUUUCCGUACUUGUUAAUUUGUUGAAUCAACAAAGAUCCUUUGUAUGGCCCGCAUAUCAUAGAAUACUGUAUAUUAAUGGAUGCGCCACUAUAAAGAGGUAGACGGCCAUCGAGCAACACAUACUAUGAAUGAUAUGGCAUGUGCUCGUAAAUUAUCUUAUUUGAUAGCUGUCCAUCUUUUAAUGAUAGCUAUGGUG